Molecule: long non-coding RNA, 1441 nt
Organism: Acinonyx jubatus (cheetah)
Lineage: Eukaryota; Metazoa; Chordata; Mammalia; Carnivora; Felidae
Exons: 2
Source: RefSeq, a predicted model, not a curated record
GUGUGUGUGCGCGCGCGCGUGCGCACGCGUCUCGGUAAGGGAGUUCAGUUGCCUUCCAUAAACAGCGGUUUCCUCUUCCUCUUGCCUCCCCUGACCCUAUAUCCUCUUCGCGCGUUCCGCUGAGAGUAGGUCAGGAAGGGAUACAAAUCACCUUGCUGUGUAAUGGAGGGAGGUGGCCCGUGGAACCUGCAUGAGGGGACUCACUAUUUCUGAGAACGAAGUUACCAGAUAAGAUGCCAUUUUCAUUUUUUUCUUGAUGUUCUCACCUAACGCUUCUGUUAUCAUCAACUCUCUCCCUCUCAAGACCUGCAUCAGACAUUUUGCAUCUAGGAAUUUUCCUAAAGACCCAAAAAGAUCAACUUCGGUCAGAAACAGCCUCGAAAAAGCCCUUGUUCAUCAGAAGGCGGGAGGCAAGGACCAAAGGAAUAUCUACCGUGGGCCAGACUUUCGACGUACAGGCUGUCCCUUCCUUCAUGAAUGCCAGGAGACACGUCCACAUGGUAAUCACUGCAGGGGUACAAUUCCUUGUGACAGCUUCCUGCCCAAUGGCAGCACAGUGUUUUGGGGAUGAAACACCUUGAUCAUUGUCAACGGCACUCAUACGGGCGCUGAACGCCUCCAGGAUGAAGUUUGCUUAUGACCUGUGUGGGGUCCUGGGAAGAGGUGCUUUCUGCCCCAAGUGUUGACAAUUCAGACCAGAGAUGGGUGGCUGUUGCAAUGGAUAUCUAUAAUGUCUGUCUGCCCUUUUUUCUAAAAACAGCUCCUGAGGCUUCCUCUAGGCAAAAAAUCCUUCUUACGCUCAUGCCGUGAAAUCUCAGUACAGCUAAACUCACCCUUGGCUUUCGAUGUCAGAGUAAUCUAUCUGCCAGUCUGUAGCAUCUGCUUUUCCAGACUUCAGGGAAAUAAGCAAGACGCAGAAUCCUUCAACGACAGGGCUUUGCCGGGCGGGGUGACUGCUGGACGAUCCGUGCCCUUGCCCUAGGUUUCCAGGCCGUUACAUUUCCUCACUGAGGGAGAACAUGCCUGAGGUUGAAGUCAACACAGGAAUACGAAGGUGAGCCAGGGUGAGAGAGCGAUUCCAGGAAACUUGCUCUGAGACCCUGAUUCAUCACCACCACGGAGUAAAAUCUGCUCUUUCCAACGUUCUUUGAGAUUUUAGGAAAGCAUGCCUGUCUCUGUGUUAUCAGAUCUGGUUUCGUAUUCCACCACACAGACUCUCUCGCCAGCCGACCAGACCGUCCCGCCAGUGAUGUUAUUAAUGACCCCAGCCUAUAUGGGGCGUGCUCACCAUUGAGACCGACCAGGUGUUACCCCAUGCACCUGACUGAUCGUACCUGCCCUUUUGUCCGCAUCCACCAGCCAGGCCUGAACCGCUCACCACCUACCUAGCCUGACUCCAGAAAGUGUAGCCCAAACACAGUAAACUAAUUCCGACAUUUUA